Molecule: transfer RNA, 74 nt
Filed under: Polaribacter sp. Hel1_85
Lineage: Bacteria; Pseudomonadati; Bacteroidota; Flavobacteriia; Flavobacteriales; Flavobacteriaceae
Description: tRNA-Asp
Source: RNAcentral
CGGUCUGGACGGGACUCGAACCCGCGACCCCCUGCGUGACAGGCAGGUAUUCUAACCAGCUGAACUACCAGACC